ACUUAAAUAGCUUAAAAUAAAGAGCAUAAUAUUGAAGAUAUUGAGAUGAUAAAUUAUCUUUAAGUA
Molecule: transfer RNA, 66 nt
Filed under: Luteuthis dentatus
Lineage: Eukaryota; Metazoa; Mollusca; Cephalopoda; Octopoda; Luteuthidae
Description: tRNA-Phe
Source: RNAcentral